GCACAGCUGAGGAGUCCCGCAAUAGGACGAAACGGCCGUCCAGUGC
Non-coding RNA from Schistosoma curassoni, 46 nucleotides. The record is from Rfam. Lineage: Eukaryota; Metazoa; Platyhelminthes; Trematoda; Strigeidida; Schistosomatidae.